AACGGAGGGGGCAAGCGUUAUUCACCUUGACUGGGCGUAAAGAGUAUGUAGAUGGUUUUUUUUUUUUCUGAAAUAAGUAAUCCAAGCUUAACUUUUGAAGUUAUUUCUUAUAAAAUAAAACUUGAGAUUUAUAGGAGUAAGUUACAUUUUUAAAGUAGAGGUGAAAUUCAUGUAUAUUAAAAAGAUAUUCGUAUGGCGAAAGCUACUUACUAUAUAUAUUCUGACAUUGAGAUACGAAAGCAUGGGGAUCAAACAGG
This 257-nucleotide ribosomal RNA is filed under the name uncultured bacterium. Its description in RNAcentral is "partial 16S ribosomal RNA". It matches the Rfam family "Bacterial small subunit ribosomal RNA", at positions 524 to 776 of the family's 1533-position model. The record is from RNAcentral.